Molecule: ribosomal RNA, 253 nt
Filed under: uncultured bacterium
Lineage: Bacteria
Description: partial 16S ribosomal RNA
Rfam family: Bacterial small subunit ribosomal RNA
Source: RNAcentral
GACGAACCGUCCAAACGUUAUUCGGAAUCACUGGGCUUAAAGGGCGCGUAGGCGGGCAGGCAAGUCGGAGGUGAAAGCCCACGGCUCAACCGUGGAAGUGCCCCCGAUACUGCCAGUCUUGAGGGAGGUAGGGGCGUGCGGAACUUCCGGUGGAGCGGUGAAAUGCGUAGAUAUCGGAAGGAACACCGGUGGCGAAAGCGGCGCGCUGGACCUCUUCUGACGCUGAGGCGCGAAAGCCAGGGGAGCAAACGGG